This 651-nucleotide ribosomal RNA is filed under the name uncultured bacterium. RNAcentral's name for it is "bacterial SSU rRNA". It matches the Rfam family "Bacterial small subunit ribosomal RNA", at positions 65 to 749 of the family's 1533-position model. The record is from RNAcentral.
GGCUACCAUGGAGUCGACGCUCCGCAUGGAGAGUGGCAGACGGGUGAGUAACACGUGGGAAUCUUCUUAUCGGUACGGAAUAGCUCAGGGAAACUUGAGGUAAUACCGCAUACGCCCUUCGGGGGAAAGAUUUAUCGCCGAUAGAUGAGCCCGCGUCUGAUUAGCUAGUUGGUGGGGUAAUGGCCUACCAAGGCGACGAUCAGUAGCUGGUCUGAGAGGAUGACCAGCCACACUGGGACUGAGACACGGCCCAGACUCCUACGGGAGGCAGCAGUGGGGAAUAUUGGACAAUGGGCGCAAGCCUGAUCCAGCCAUGCCGCGUGAGUGACGAAGGUCUUCGGAUUGUAAAGCUCUUUUGCCAGGGACGAUAAUGACGGUACCUGGAGAAUAAGCCCCGGCUAACUUCGUGCCAGCAGCCGCGGUAAUACGAAGGGGGCUAGCGUUGUUCGGAAUUACUGGGCGUAAAGCGCACGUAGGCGGAUUUGUUAGUCAGGGGUGAAAUCCCGGGGCUCAACCUCGGAACUGCCUUUGAUACUGCAAGUCUAGAGUCUGGAAGAGGUGAGUGGAAUUCCUAGUGUAGAGGUGAAAUUCGUAGAUAUUAGGAAGAACACCAGUGGCGAAGGCGGCUCACUGGUCCGGUACUGACGCUGA